AUGGCCGUGGGUUGCAGGUUUCCGGUGCGAGCGGAGUUCGCGGACAGCCUGGAACAUCCAGAUCCGGUGGCUCUUAAGGUGCUCCCGCGACGUGAUGCCACCCCUGCUACGCCGGCGGAUUCGAAUGCUGGCUCCGGGUGCAGGCAGCACGUUGGUUGCGCUAGCCCUGGGAGGACGCAGGGUGAAAAUCGCUGUCGACGGCCGGGCUCUCCGACGAGGUCUGCGCAGUCCACCCACAGGGUAAAUCCAGAGGCGCCGGGAUGGACCAAAAGCAACUGUUACAAUGAAGAAAAAGCCAUCACUGGUUUGUCACAGCAGGUGGGUGCAGGAGAUGAUGAUGAUGCGCUGCUAAUAUUGGACUUGCCAGGGUAUUCUCUUUUCAGCAAAGGGUCAUUUUUGUGGCAGCCCAGAGAUAGGAAAACUGUGUCUAGUCAAGACCUGCUUAGCAACAAAGAGAGAAUCAAAUUCAUCGUAAAUAAGGGGCUGCCAUUGACUUGUCCUUCAUCGCAAAGUUCAGGAGAAUCUGAAUGUAUGUUCAGAACUAUGAAAUCUGGUGUUCAAGCACAUGUUCAGGAUGUGAAAUCUGAAACCUGA
This 594-nucleotide ribosomal RNA is filed under the name Triticum aestivum (bread wheat). RNAcentral's name for it is "partial small subunit ribosomal RNA". Lineage: Eukaryota; Viridiplantae; Streptophyta; Magnoliopsida; Poales; Poaceae. The record is from RNAcentral.